Molecule: long non-coding RNA, 679 nt
Filed under: Brachypodium distachyon (stiff brome)
Lineage: Eukaryota; Viridiplantae; Streptophyta; Magnoliopsida; Poales; Poaceae
Description: long non-coding RNA (BDIS_LNC005863)
Source: RNAcentral
UGAUCCAAGUUGGCGGAUGUAAUUUUGCGCGCCGUGCGUGUCUCGUCUCUCGUGGACGGUGUGGGUGCGCCGCCGCGCCGUGCAAAUAUGUCGCUGCACGGACGCGAUCUGACAGUCGGUGUUUCCGUUGCGUGCUCAUGGUGCGGCUCCUGUUUUUUUUUUUAGAGAGAAAAGGGCGAUUCCCCUAGUUUGGUUUCCCGGUCGUGUUCCGGGGGCAAACAAUGGCACGGGGCCUGGGCCAACCGGGUCGGUGGAUAGUUAGCGGCUGCAGGUCUCGCUUUAAUUAUCGUCCGUCCGUCCGUACUCUCAGUUUCUAGCUUGUCAUCCGUGUGGGUAGUGGGUACUAUGCAUGAUUUGAUUCGCUUAUCGUGACGCUGACUGAUAUUGAUAUCCUACCACGCCUAUCGAUCUGUUCCACCAGCGCAUGGCAUUGGCUAGCUAUCACCUGGACAAUGGUAACAUGUGACGCCACUAUUGCCUCGCUUAUAAAUUUGCUUGUAUUCCUAUGUUCUUAAAUACACAAAGUUCUAAUUUUGUCCAAAGCCAAAAAAAAUUCUUACAGUUUAACUAAGUUUAUAAAAAAUCUACUCUCUUAGAUCCAUGUUACCUGUCUCGCGCAAAAAAAAAAGAUCCAUGUUACUUGUUGAUGCUUGGUCUACAUACGCAUGUGCCUACACAA